RNAcentral lists this unclassified non-coding RNA (315 nucleotides) under plant metagenome. RNAcentral's name for it is "partial contains 5.8S ribosomal RNA, internal transcribed spacer 2, and large subunit ribosomal RNA". The stretch from base 1 to 105 matches the Rfam family "5.8S ribosomal RNA", at positions 50 to 154 of the family's 154-position model. The record is from RNAcentral.
GAACUGCGAUAAGUAAUGUGAAUUGCAGAAUUCAGUGAAUCAUCGAGUCUUUGAACGCACAUUGCGCCCCCUGGCAUUCCGGGGGGCAUGUCUGUCCGAGCGUCAUUGCUGCCCUCAAGCCCGGCUUGUGUGUUGGGUCGUCGUCCCCCCCGGGGGACGGGCCCGAAAGGCAGCGGCGGCACCGUGUCCGGUCCUCGAGCGUAUGGGGCUUUGUCACCCGCUCGAUUAGGGCCGGCCGGGCGCCAGCCGGCGUCUCCAACCUUAUUUUUCUCAGGUUGACCUCGGAUCAGGUAGGGAUACCCGCUGAACUUAAGC